RNAcentral lists this transfer RNA (71 nucleotides) under Marmota monax (woodchuck). Its description in RNAcentral is "tRNA.Ala". It matches the Rfam family "tRNA". From Rfam's summary of the family: Transfer RNA (tRNA) molecules are approximately 80 nucleotides in length. Their secondary structure includes four short double-helical elements and three loops (D, anti-codon, and T loops). The record is from RNAcentral. Lineage: Eukaryota; Metazoa; Chordata; Mammalia; Rodentia; Sciuridae.
GAGGUUGUGGCUCAGUGGUAGAGUGCUCGCCUAGCACAUGCGAGGCCCUGGGUUCGAUCCCCAGCACCACA